This 58-nucleotide transfer RNA is filed under the name Dilophotes sp. Q LB-2014. Its description in RNAcentral is "tRNA-Leu". The record is from RNAcentral. Lineage: Eukaryota; Metazoa; Arthropoda; Insecta; Coleoptera; Lycidae.
UGUGGCAGAACAGUGCAAUAAAUUUAAGAUUUAUAAACAAAGUAGUACUUUCCUUAGA